RNAcentral lists this ribosomal RNA (383 nucleotides) under uncultured archaeon. Its description in RNAcentral is "bacterial SSU rRNA". It matches the Rfam family "Archaeal small subunit ribosomal RNA", at positions 345 to 728 of the family's 1478-position model. The record is from RNAcentral.
AAACUCUACAAUGCAGGCAACUGCGAUAGGGGAACAUCGAGUGAUCCUCAUAUUGGGGGUCUGUCCCACCGUCUAAAAAACGGUGGUUAGCAAGGGCCGGGCAAGACCGGUGCCAGCCGCCGCGGUAAUACCGGCGGCUCGAGUGGUGGCCGAUAUUAUUGAGUCUAAAGGGUCCGUAGCCGGCUUUGCAAGUCUCUCGGGAAAUCCAGCGGCUUAACCGUUGGUCGUCCGGGGGGUACUACAUUGCUUGGGACUGGGAGAGGUAGGAGGUACUCAGGGGGUAGGAGUGAAAUCCUGUAAUCCUCUGGGGACCACCGGUGGCGAAGGCGUCCUACCAGAACAGGUCCGACGGUGAGGGACGAAAGCUAGGGGCACGAACCGGA